CCAAGAAAAAUGAUAACUCAAGUGUCAAAAUCAUGACAACCUUCGAAUAAAAUUAAAUAAUUAGGUACCCACGUAGAGAUUUUAUCGUUCACGCAAGAUAAGUAAGUCUUUCGUGGUGAUUAUGAAGUUUUUAGAAUAGAAACAAAAUACAUACGGUGGUUGAAUGAUAAGAAGGACACAUUAUCGGGCGUACUAAUUUGAGUCUCUUGUAUGGUCUUUCACGUAGUGAUGAGCAUUCCAAUCCUGCUUUCUUAUCCUUUCUUGAUGCCACUCAUUCCUCUCCCAUUGGCCCACCGUUCGUUUAACGUUGUUUUCUAGCCGUCACGGAUUUUUAAUGUCUUUGUCUUAUAAUACGGGACUUACACAAGAUUAAUUUUCCUCGUUUAUAAAAUUAAUGAUUUAGAUUAUGUGAGAAAUAAAAUCUAUCUUGGUUUGGUAUUUGAAGAAUUGGUGUAAGCGUCUAACAAAAAGGGUGCAUUGGGAAGAAAUCGGGACCAUUGAUCAAAAGAAUGUCGAUGACUCUGUUAAAAAGAAGUGAAGAUGGCCCAUCUAAAUAACUUCAAUCUCCAGUAUGUAGAAGAAUCUGGACCUGGUAGAAGCUAAUUAAGAGUUAAUUAGGACUUUUAAGGCGAUAAGAGUUGAAAAUCCUAGGAACUCAAAUAAGAAGAGAGACGUAUGAGAAUCAACAUUUAAAAUAAUCAAUCAAUCGCAUCAUAUAAUUAUCAAAAUACAUUCUUAACAAUUUACAUCAUUUUUAUUUUUAUUUUUUUUAUAAUUUUCAAGACAACCCUUUCUAUGUGAGUCGCUGUUUGGUGGCCUUUAAUUUGAAAAAACUAUGUUUUGAAUCGUAUUUUUUGAAGAAUGUGUUGUUAAAAAUUAAGAAAAAAUUUGAAUUUAUCUAUAGAAUAUUUUAUUGUGUGAAUGCGUUGCUGAAAAUAAGUAUAAGAAAUAAAUUGAAGUAAUGUAAAUUAAAUUAUUGAUCGCACAUAUAUGGAGGUGACUCAUUACCUAGUGUUAAUGAAAAACGAUGUCACUUUGUUAAUAUUCAAACAAGAUUAGGAGGUCAUACUACAAAUGAUUAUGUACCCAAAUUUACUAAGAAGAUAAGGAUAUACUUGUGAGUGAGAUUCGUCUCUAGAUUAAUCUUCCCUCUUAAGAAAGAAAGGGCAAAAGUGGUAAAAGGGGAGGGUGAAGAAAUCCAGCUUUGCUUGAGGCUGCCGCGUCAAGGGUUCGAAUCCUGAAAUAUGGAUUUGGCUUUUGGAUAAGUGCAAGUGUACAAGCAGCCUUCCAUCCUGUACCCUUGGAGUCAUAACCUGCGAUUUACCUCCCUCACGAUGCUCCAGGACAGGGGUGGUGGGAGACCCUUAAGGUUGGGGUUCAACCUUUAAAGAAAGGGCAAAAGUGACAAAACACACUUAAACAAUUUUAUUUAAAAGAUUACGCAAGAUUAUUCUUGUAAGAUAUCAGAAUCAUAAAACGGGCUUCUUACGUGUUGGAAGGGUAGAAUUAGGGUACACAAAUAAAAAAUUAUAUUGAACUGAAACAAUCUCCACCACCUGCCUUAUAUGUGCAUUUUUAAGCAAAAAUUAUGCAUGUAUAGAACACUUUUUUACAUAAAAUUGAUCGGAAAUCUCACAUUGUGCGGGCUCCAUGUGAUGAUAAAAAAAUGCAGAAAAAUCACCCACUCCUCCUGCUAUCGUGUCUUAUCUGUGCAAGCCCUAUAAAAAAAGUUUAUGUACAUGUAAUGCUAUUCUUUUUAAAGUACCACAAAAUAAAAAAUUAAGAUGACAACAAAAACUUUUAUGAGUUAAAUUAGUGAUUUCUGUCUUAACAAAUUCAGCUUGAUCGAGUUAAAUUAGUGAUUUCGAUCUUAACAAAUUCAGUUUGAUUUGAAAUUCAUUCUUUAAAACUCAAUUUUCAACGAUAUAUUUUCUCAAUAAAAUGAUUUUACAAGUAUUAAAAUCGCUUUUU
This 1971-nucleotide long non-coding RNA is filed under the name Olea europaea (common olive). RNAcentral's name for it is "long non-coding RNA (OEUR_LNC002722)". The record is from RNAcentral. Lineage: Eukaryota; Viridiplantae; Streptophyta; Magnoliopsida; Lamiales; Oleaceae.